RNAcentral lists this long non-coding RNA (1925 nucleotides) under Homo sapiens (human). RNAcentral's name for it is "long independently transcribed non-coding RNA 1871 (LINC01871)". Lineage: Eukaryota; Metazoa; Chordata; Mammalia; Primates; Hominidae. The record is from RNAcentral.
GGUUAAAGCCUUUGGAACUGGUUUGAGCAAAGCUGUAGGUGAUUUGACAAAAUCAUCUGCAAAACCAGAUUUCUAACACCUCCCUGCUGUGUAUCUCAUUUCUGCUGAUGUGUGGUGCUUCAUAAGAUGGGGACGUUAAGCAUGCAGCAACUACAGUCAUUUGUUCUCAGAGGUCUGGACCAAAGAGAAACAAGAAAAGCUGGAGUCACACUACCAAAGGCCGAAGCUGAGCAACAGAGCUCUGGAGUCAGCUGCCUGGGUUCAGCAUGCAGCGCUGCCGUGGACGAUCUGUCUCUCUUGCAUAUAUGACUUACCAGUUUUACUUUCAGUCUCUCCAUUUCUAAUUAAAUGAGAUGCAGAAAUGCUGGUGCCUUGCUAUGAUGUUUGCAGUUAUUAUUUCUAGGAAAAAAAAUAUUAUUGUUACUCAGUAUCUGGUACAUCAAAACUAAGCCAGAAACGUUUAAAAAGAACAAAAGUAUCAUUUCUACUUAAUUCUCUAGCUACUUGGACAACUGGACUAUGCCCCUCCUUUCAAGGGAGGGCAAAGCAUUUCAGAAAAGAACUAAGUGCUAUUUCUCUGCUUCAGGAAUGUCUCCCGUAUGUAAAAGAAUGUGGCUUCAGGGAGUAGCAUGUGUUGUAAAGGUGGAUGGGUCUAACUUCAUGGACAGCUCUGACAUCCACUAGCUAUGCCACCUGAUGCAAACCACUUGGGCUGUCUGUAGUUUCGUUUAUCUUUCUGGAAUUGGUAAUAACAACCACCUGGCAAGAUCACUGUUAUGAAUACGGAGGAUCAAAGUUGUGAAGUUAUUUUGUAAAGUGAAAUGUUCUGAAAAUUGGAUUUUAACAGUGUCAGCGAAAAGUAGAUUUUUGACAUUUAUCAAGAGUUCAGCUAAUGAAAACAAGUAUGGAUAAUAGUUACAUAGAACUGUCUACUUUACUCAGUACUUUAGCAUAUGCUAUUAUAUUUAAUCUUCUUAAAAAGUAGAAAAUUAUACAAGCCAUGUAUUACUAUUAUUGUGGUGGUUGUCGUUCUCAAUUACACACUGAAUAUUAAGACCUCUCAGGUAGCAGCUGGAAGGACAUUGUAUCCAGUUUCCUGAUUGUUUUCAAUGGAAUAAUCAUGUAUACAUGCACUACUAAUGAGACAAUGGUGAUUCUAAAAGCUUAAUCAGGGGGACUUUUGUGUAUUCCAAAUCUACUAAAAAUAAAGAAACACAGAAAUGAGAAAAAUGUACAUUAGCAAGAAAAUGUACACCAGCAUUCAGGCUUAGCCUUUUGAGAGCAAUAUGAUAAAUAGAAAUAGAAUUUCACAAAUUUAACAUGAUGCUAAUCGAGGAAUGAAUGAAAAAGUGGUCAGCAGUCUAAAUGGAACAUAACACAAAGAGAUCUCGUAAACAGUAAGCUUUGUGCAGGACAUCUCUUGGGGGUCCCAGGUGUUGGGAGAGUCAGGGAGAGAUGUCUACUGUUUGAACAGCAAUAAUACAAAGUUGAAGUGGGACAAUAUUCACCACCGUAGCUUGAUGGAAUUAGCCUUUCAAAAGAUUGAGUUUAUUUAUUUAGAAAUUGCCUUACCCCCUUUUUAUAAAUGUGGCAAAUCAGCAAAGACGGUGACAUUCUUUUAAUUCAAAACAUCCGUUCAAUCUACAGUCUGCUCUCCUAGAUGGAUUUUAAGAGUGGGGGUUUGUCUUCCAACUAAUGUUUGUCUUCCAACUAAUGUUCCCCUGUCAAUUAACUAUCAUUUCCUGUUCUUAUUAAUCAAUUAGAUCUUUUCCACUGCCUCAGACUAUUCUUCAUUCAACAUUUGUUUUUUAUCUAAAAUGUCCCAGACUGUUCUAAGCAUUAAGAGUAAAAUGUCUUAGAAGAAAUAAAUCAAGUUGAGUGGGUAUCAUAAACCACUCAACUAGUGGCCGAGUCAGAAAUCUAAA